ACGUCAAAAUUGCAAUGGGGAGCUGGUUUGCUCUCGUGCCAGGAGAGCUUGUCCGAUAAACUACAUCAAUAUCCAAUGAGACUGCGUGUCGAUGUAAACAAAAAACAUCAGUUUCCAUGAUUUCUCUGAGCUUAUGGUCAAGUGUUUACUGCGUUGUAGUGUGGUGUAACGAAUUGUUCCAGUCCUGAAAACGAAAGAAAUAUAUUUCUUUUAAUGUGUACAACAUGUGUUUAAUGUGUACAACUUUAUUUACUUUAUCCUAUAGAAAAUUCCCUCCAAAGUAAUCUACAGCAACAGAGUGCAGUACAAUACCACAAGUUUUCCAGCCAAAUGCGAUAGAAGCUCAACUAUUCGAAGCAGGAGACCGAAGAGAAAAAAGGAAGAGAGAUGAUAUUACAGCUGCAGAAAAGGAAAUAAUUGAAAAACGCAGAAGAAUAUAUUAAUGUACUGUGUGAAAUAUGUGACUUGUAUAAGCAAUCAGUUGCAAAUCAGUCUGCUGUCAUAGAAAAUCAAAAUAUAAUUAUUAAUUUAUUAAAAAAAUAAAUCAUGCAUUUCAAAUAUUA
Long non-coding RNA from Stegodyphus dumicola, 563 nucleotides. The record is from RefSeq and is a predicted model, not a curated record. Lineage: Eukaryota; Metazoa; Arthropoda; Arachnida; Araneae; Eresidae.